This is a non-coding RNA of Gossypium hirsutum (cotton), 45 nucleotides long. The record is from Rfam. NCBI's taxonomy places the organism in Eukaryota, Viridiplantae, Streptophyta, Magnoliopsida, Malvales, Malvaceae.
UCAGUGGAGUUUUUAGACUCCAUAAAUAUAAUUAGGAAAUUGAUG